AAUAGAUACCCAGGUAGUCCAUGCCGUAAACGUUGGGAACUAGAUGUAGGGACCAUUCCACGGUUUCUGUGUCGCAGCUAACGCAUUAAGUUCCCCGCCUGGGGAGUACGGCCGCAAGGCUAAAACUCAAAGGAAUUGACGGGGGCCCGCACAAGCGGCGGAGCAUGCGGAUUAAUUCGAGGCAACGCGAAGAACCUUACCAAGGCUUGACAUAUACGAGAACGCCCUAGAAAUAGGGAACUCUUUGGACACUCGUAUACAGGUGGUGCAUGGUUGUCGUCAGCUCGUGUCGUGAGAUGUUGGGUUAAGUCCCGCAACGAGCGCAACCCUCGUUCUAUGUUGCCAGCACGUCAUGGUGGGAACUCAUAGGAGACCGCCGGGGUCAACUCGGAGGAAGGUGGGGAUGACGUCAAAUCAUCAUGCCCCUUAUGUCUUGGGCUUCACGCAUGCUACAAUGGCCGGUACAAAGGGCUGCAAUACCGCAAGGUGGAGCGAAUCCCGAAAAAGCCGGUCUCAGUUCGGAUUGAGGU
RNAcentral lists this ribosomal RNA (530 nucleotides) under uncultured bacterium. RNAcentral's name for it is "bacterial SSU rRNA". It matches the Rfam family "Bacterial small subunit ribosomal RNA", at positions 777 to 1304 of the family's 1533-position model. The record is from RNAcentral.